Molecule: ribosomal RNA, 482 nt
Filed under: uncultured bacterium
Lineage: Bacteria
Description: bacterial SSU rRNA
Rfam family: Bacterial small subunit ribosomal RNA
Source: RNAcentral
UUGAACGCUGGCGGAAUGCUUUACACAUGCAAGUCGAGCGGCAGCGCGGGGGCAACCCUGGCGGCGAGCGGCGGACGGGUGAGUAAUGCAUCGGAACGUACCUAGUCGUGGGGGAUAACUAUCCGAAAGGAUAGCUAAUACCGCAUACGUCCUGAGGGAGAAAGCAGGGGAUCGCAAGACCUUGCGCGAUUAGAGCGGCCGAUGUCGGAUUAGCUAGUUGGUGGGGUAAAGGCCUACCAAGGCAACGAUCCGUAGCUGGUCUGAGAGGAUGAUCAGCCACACUGGGACUGAGACACGGCCCAGACUCCUACGGGAGGCAGCAGUGGGGAAUUUUGGACAAUGGGCGCAAGCCUGAUCCAGCAAUGCCGCGUGCAGGAUGAAGGCCUUCGGGUUGUAAACUGCUUUUGUACGGAACGAAACGGUCUUUUCUAAUACAAGAGACUAAUGACGGUACCGUAAGAAUAAGCACCGGCUAACUACGU